Molecule: ribosomal RNA, 403 nt
Filed under: uncultured bacterium
Lineage: Bacteria
Description: bacterial SSU rRNA
Rfam family: Bacterial small subunit ribosomal RNA
Source: RNAcentral
GGGCCCGCACAAGCGGUGGAGCAUGUGGUUUAAUUCGAUGAUACGCGAGGAACCUUACCAGGGCUUAAAUGGGAAAUGACAGGGGCAGAGACGCCCCCUUCUUCGGACAUUUUUCAAGGUGCUGCAUGGUUGUCGUCAGCUCGUGCCGUGAGGUGUCAGGUUAAGUCCUAUAACGAGCGCAACCCCUACCGUUAGUUGCCAGCGUGUAAUGACGGGGACUCUAACGGAACUGCCGGUGCAAACCGUGAGGAAGGUGGGGACGACGUCAAAUCAUCACGGCCCUUACGUCCUGGGCCACACACGUGCUACAAUGGCCGAGACAAAGAGUCGCAAGUUUGCAAAGACAAGCUAAUCUCAUAAACUCGGUCUCAGUUCGGAUUGUAGGCUGCAACUCGCCUACAUG